This is a long non-coding RNA of Setaria italica (foxtail millet), 1503 nucleotides long. RefSeq lists it as uncharacterized. The transcript is spliced from 6 exons. The record is from RefSeq and is a predicted model, not a curated record. Lineage: Eukaryota; Viridiplantae; Streptophyta; Magnoliopsida; Poales; Poaceae.
CUAUUCACCUGGCUUCGUUCUCCCACCGCCGCUGCCCUCACUCCCGAUCUCUCUCCCUCAGUUCUCCUACGCCGCCACCUCCGGCCCCUCAGCGAUCCCGCCGUCUCAGCCCCGGAGGCGUGGUCCGGGCCGGCCCCGGUGCUGGAGCGGCACGGCAGCCUAGCCCUGGCGAGGCACGGGCCCAGCGCGGGCCGCUGCGACCCGACGGCGCGGUCGGCCGGGGUAGGUCCUCUUUCUCCCACCGCCGCUCGCGCGCCGCCAUACAUCUCCAUCGCGCUGGCGGUAGCUGUGGAGGAGGAGGGCGGGGCUGGACGGGGCUCAAGCUGGACGUCCUCGUCUUCGGCUGCCUCCAGGUUGUGCCGUUCCUGAUGCGGUUGGGCAAGGGGUCCAAGGUGAGGGGGUACUGCUCUGGCUCCUGGAGGAGGCUUUUACUCGCACGCUCGGGAGGGGCCUAGCUCUUCCCCCGGCUGCCCGCUCAUGUUCGACAAUCGCCCGCUCCAGUCACCACAUCGAAGGCAAGUAGUGGAGGCAGCUGAUAUUUGGGAAGAACUGCGUAAACACCAUGAGCCAUGAGGUGAAAAAACAUUUGCAGACUCGCGUUUGCAGGUUGUCAGAUUAAGGAGGGACUUUCGAAUAUGAAGUUGAUUAAGUACUCUAAUAUUUACCCGCAAAAAAAAAGUACCCUAAUGUUGCAUAUAAGUUUUGCUCGCAGAUCAGGUGGACCUCACCAGCCUCCGUGGCGGCCAUGGUUGGCAGCAAAGGAAGAAGUGCGUAUCCCUUUCUCCUUCCUCCUUGCCUCCCCCGAAGCAGCCCAGAGUGAGAACACCACCCCAUGGAUCAAAGAAUCCCAAAGUUGCUGCCUUCUGAUUUGACCCACCUGCCAACUGUCCAGCAGCAGCACUCAGAUGUAGGCAGGAGGUGGUCAGCUCGGCAAGGUGGAUAUAGCAUAUGUGCGAUUUAUCGGAAGGUUUCAGAUAUUCUAUUCCAACAUCAAGAACUACGAUAUCACAAAGGGCAGACCCAAUCUUCAGAAGUUCAUUGAGCCUGAAUGGAGCAAUACAAGGGACGCCGUAGAGGUGAUAGACAAGACCAUGGGUCUCUCCCAGAAUAAUCAUUUGAUUCUUUACACCAUGAGAUGCUCAUAUGAUCUUCAUUAUCAUUUGGCCGCAUAUACGUGAUUAUGAACCUUUUAGUAUAGAAAUCUCCGCUGAUAUGAGCUACCGGCUAUGGGUAGACAAUUCAAUUUGUUACCAGCAAUAGAUACAUAUGAUCCUUAUGUUCCCGCUAGAUUAACAUUUUACCUAUGUUGGUAUAUACUUUGAUAUUGUUGUACCAACAUGCAAUUUACCGCAAGUGUUGCACCGAACCUAAUUUGUUGAUUCUUUGACUGUGGAAGUAUGAUACUGCUGUAGCUUGUUCAAUGUUUUUUAGCUGUGUUUGUUCAGUCAGAAUAAAAACUCUAUUGCUGCAAUGUUGAUAGGCGUGCAAAGCAUGUAUUGAUGA